UUUCCGUAGGUGAACCUGCGGAAGGUUCAUUAUUGUAUCACCGGUGUGCGAGGGUUGUGGCCGGUACGUAAGGUCGUGCACGCCCGAGGACCCUCACACCCAUCUAUCUAACCCCUCUUUUCACCACCCCGUGGGUCCCCCUUUGGCUUGUUCGGCGGGGUGCUUACGUUUUCACACAAACUGUGUAUUCAGUGUAGAAUGUAUUUUUUGUUUUUGCGUUCACGCAAUCAUUACAACUUUCAACAACGGAUCUCUUGGCUCUC
RNAcentral lists this unclassified non-coding RNA (263 nucleotides) under plant metagenome. Its description in RNAcentral is "partial contains small subunit ribosomal RNA, internal transcribed spacer 1, and 5.8S ribosomal RNA". The record is from RNAcentral.